UAUUGUUUGAACUGUACCUUUACCGAACGAAUUGGAACCUAUAACAAGAGCUCUUUUGUAAUCUUGUAAUGUACCGGUGACAAUUUCCGAUGCGGAAGCCGAACCUCUAUUUAUCAACACUACUACCGGAAUAUUAGAAUAAUCCGGUUUUUUCUGGGUGUAAUAAUAUUGUUCCAUCGUUUUAUCUUUACAUUUUGUGGAAACAACCAAACUGUCUUCCUUGAUAAACAAACUGCAUAUAUUUAUUGCUGAAUCCAAUAAUCCACCGGGAUUAUUUCUUA
This 281-nucleotide non-coding RNA is filed under the name bovine gut metagenome. The record is from RNAcentral.